This 34-nucleotide ribosomal RNA is filed under the name Streptococcus agalactiae. The record is from RNAcentral. RNAcentral also lists the same sequence under 4 other names. Lineage: Bacteria; Bacillati; Bacillota; Bacilli; Lactobacillales; Streptococcaceae.
UACACCUGUUCUCAUGCCGAACACAGAAGUUAAG